GUUAAAAAUGCAGCACCCUUCAGAAAUUACAAAAAAACAACCAAAAUAAAAACAUAGGAUUGUGAAUGUCAGUUUGGCUGCUUGAAAUUUUAGCCUUUCACUCUACUUAACAGGAAAUCUCUGAUUUUUCUCUGAAGCUCUCAUGUUCAAUUAUAUUAAAUAUAAAGAGAGAAAGAAAGAGAGAAAGGGAGAAAAGGAGGAAGGGAGGAAGAAGGAAGGAAGGAAAGAAGGAAGGAAGGAAGGAAAUAGGGACCUGGCCACAUGCAAGGAACUAAAAGGGUUAUUCUAGCCAGACACACUGAGGUAGUUGAGGGCUGUGGAUUCCUUCUUUCAGGGAGAUCAGAGAGAUAACUUCCUGUUUAUUGAUCUGUCCUUAGCCUAGUGGGAGUUGACCUUCCUGUUCCUUGGGAGCUGAAGGUUCCUGCUUUCCUACUAUCCAGCUAUCCUGAGAUCCUGAUAUUCUGGUGGGUGGUCCUGUCAAUCUCUGUCUCCACAUUUCCAUCUACCUGAGUUCCUGUGUGAGAUCCUGUGUCCUGAGUGUUUCCUGACUGCAGAGAGAGAACUGUCAAUACUGAGUAAAGUCUAUCUGUAGGGAAAGACCUGAAGCCAUCUUGGCCUUAGGCCUUAGAGGGUGAAUUCACUAAGAGUUCAAGAAGCAAGAGAAGAUAAAAUAAAAUAUGUAGAGACACAAGAUUUUCUGAGGCUCUUGAAUAACUUGCCAAAAGACAAUGUUAUAAAUUGGGAAGAGUAAAGCAAUAAUUAUACUUGUAGAUCAUUCUGAACUUUGAAGAAAGCAAGGACUGUUAAGAAAAGAGGUCAGAAGUCAGAUGACUGAAGGUUUUCAAGAGACUAGGAGAAGAGGAAGUGGUAAAAAAGAACUGUAGAUGAACACAAACUCAAUGCUGAAUCUUGAAUGGAAAUUCUUCAAAGAAAGGAAAAUCAAGAAGAAACAAGAGAGAAGGGGAGUCUUAACUUGCUCUCAUGCUGAGAGGCUCAAACAAGAUAAUGGAAAGAUGUUACCAGUUGACUGGGACCAGAAGAACAGAUCUGCUGGAGAAAAUGCUGAAAAAUUCAGCAUGAUUCCAGAUAGCCUAAGAAGACAGCAAGAGAAGAUGCCCCCAGAAAUCAAACACUGAUGAGAGAGACUCUCAGUGAGCCCUUGCUGGGUCAUCCACCCCCUUCAGUCCUCCCUGUGUGCCAAUAUUUUAUGUUGAUUAUAAAAAAAAGAGAGAAUGCCAACUAAUGGCUCCCUAUCAAUGAAUCUAUCAAAUCAUUUUUAAUAAGUUAAAGGACAUCUAAACAUUGUUAGACCCUCUGUAGUACCUUUGGGCCCUUUUAUAUUCUGUUGAGACAAUCUUAAAAUGUAUAAAUAUCAUACACAGAAUGAUUCAUUGGGGGAGAAUAAUGUAUCUCCCAAUGAAUCAGCAUGAGGUAUUUGGAAAAUAAAUGUUAAACUGGAAUAUUUUCUGUUAAAUGA
RNAcentral lists this long non-coding RNA (1477 nucleotides) under Monodelphis domestica (gray short-tailed opossum). Its description in RNAcentral is "lncRNA (ENSMODG00000050575.1)". Lineage: Eukaryota; Metazoa; Chordata; Mammalia; Didelphimorphia; Didelphidae. The record is from RNAcentral.